RNAcentral lists this ribosomal RNA (441 nucleotides) under uncultured bacterium. RNAcentral's name for it is "partial 16S ribosomal RNA". It matches the Rfam family "Bacterial small subunit ribosomal RNA", at positions 338 to 795 of the family's 1533-position model. The record is from RNAcentral.
CCUACGGGAGGCAGCAGUGGGGAAUAUUCCACAAUGGGGGAAACCCUGAUGCAGCAACGCCGCGUGAGUGAAGAAGUAUUUCGGUAUGUAAAGCUCUAUCAGCAGGGAAGAAGAAAGACGGUACCUGACUAAGAAGCCCCGUCUAACUACGUUCCAGCAGCCGCGGUAAUACGUAGGUGGCAAGCGUUAUCCGGAUUUACUUGGUGUAAAGGGAGCGUAGACGGCGGUCCAAGUCUGGGGUGAAAGGCGGGGGCUCAACCCCCGGAGGGCACUGGAAACUGGACGGCUGGAGUGCAGGAGAGGUGAGUGGAAUUCCUAGUGUAGCGGUGAAAUGCGUAGAUAUUAGGAGGAACACCAGUGGCGAAGGCGGCUUACUGGUCUGUAACUGACGUUGAGGCUCGAAAGCGUGGGGAGCAAACAGGAUUAGAUACCCGUGUAGUC